RNAcentral lists this ribosomal RNA (407 nucleotides) under uncultured prokaryote. RNAcentral's name for it is "bacterial SSU rRNA". It matches the Rfam family "Bacterial small subunit ribosomal RNA", at positions 355 to 776 of the family's 1533-position model. RNAcentral also lists the same sequence under 1 other name. The record is from RNAcentral.
UGGGGAAUAUUGCGCAAUGGGGGAAACCCUGACGCAGCAACGCCGCGUGAGCGAAGAAGGCCUUCGGGUCGUAAAGCUCUGUCAUCAGGGACGAAGUAAGUGACGGUACCUGAGGAGGAAGCCCCGGCUAACUACGUGCCAGCAGCCGCGGUAACACGUAGGGGGCGAGCGUUGUCCGGAAUUACUGGGCGUAAAGGGUGCGUAGGCGGUCUGUUAAGUCAGAUGUGAAAGACCUGGGCUCAACCCGGGAUGUGCAUCUGAGACUGGCGGACUUGAGUGCAGGAGAGGGAAGUGGAAUUUCUAGUGUAGCGGUGGAAUGCGUAGAUAUUAGGAAGAACACCAGUGGCGAAGGCGGCUUCCUGGACUGUAACUGACGCUGAGGCACGAAAGCGUGGGGAGCGAACAGG